AGUGAACGUUGGCGGCGUGGAUUAGGCAUGCGAGUCGAGCGAGAACCGUAGCAAUACGGGGACAGCGGCGAAAGGGACAGUAAUAUGUAGGUACCUACCCUCGGGUCCGGGAUAGCUGCGGGAAACUGCAGGUAAUACCGGAUGACAUCUCCGGAUCAAAGGUGUGAUUCCGCCCGGGGAGGGGCCUGCAUGCUAUUAGCUUGUUGGUGGGGUAACGGCCGACCAAGGCGACGAUGGGUAGCGGGUGUGAGAGCAUGACCCGCGUCAUUGGGACUGAGACACUGCCCAGACACCUACGGGUGGAUGCAGUCGAGAAUCUUCGGCAAUGGGGGCAACCCUGACCGAGCGACGCCGCGUGCGGGAUGAAGGCCUUCGGGUUGUAAACCGCUGUCGUAGAGGAGGAAAUGCAGUGGGGUUCUCCCCUCUGUUUGACCUAUUCUAGGAGGAAGGACGGGCUAAGUUCGUGCCAGCCGCCGCCGUAA
Molecule: ribosomal RNA, 482 nt
Filed under: uncultured bacterium
Lineage: Bacteria
Description: partial 16S ribosomal RNA
Rfam family: Bacterial small subunit ribosomal RNA
Source: RNAcentral